AUCAAUCUCUCGGGGUGCUAGGUCUUGUAAGAUCUAAGCUGAGAUAGCUCAAAAGCUUGACCCGUUGAACUUGAACUGGGUAAUACCAGCGUAGGGAAGAGAAUCGUAUAUAAA
This 114-nucleotide non-coding RNA is filed under the name Sulfurovum sp. AR. Its description in RNAcentral is "TPP riboswitch aptamer (THI element)". It matches the Rfam family "TPP riboswitch aptamer (THI element)". Rfam says of the family: Vitamin B(1) in its active form thiamin pyrophosphate (TPP) is an essential coenzyme that is synthesised by coupling of pyrimidine and thiazole moieties in bacteria. The previously detected thiamin-regulatory element, thi box was extended, resulting in a new, highly conserved RNA secondary structure, the THI element, which is widely distributed in eubacteria and also occurs in some archaea. Analysis of operon structures identified a large number of new candidate thiamin-regulated genes, mostly transporters, in various prokaryotic organisms. Lineage: Bacteria; Pseudomonadati; Campylobacterota; Epsilonproteobacteria; Campylobacterales; Sulfurovaceae. The record is from Rfam by way of RNAcentral. RNAcentral also lists the same sequence under 1 other name.